UACGGGGGGGGCAAGCGUUGUUCGGAAUUACUGGGCGUAAAGGGCUCGUAGGCGGCCAACUAAGUCGGACGUGAAAUCCCCAGGCUCAACCUGGGAACUGCGUCCGAUACUGGAUGGCUUGAAUUCGGGAGAGGGAUGCAGAAUUCCAGGUGUAGCGGUGAAAUGCGCAGAUAUCAGGAGGAACACCGGUGGCGAAGGCGGUCUGCUGGGCAGUUGCUGACACUGAGGAGCGAAAGCGUGGGGAGCGAACAGG
Molecule: ribosomal RNA, 253 nt
Filed under: uncultured bacterium
Lineage: Bacteria
Description: partial 16S ribosomal RNA
Rfam family: Bacterial small subunit ribosomal RNA
Source: RNAcentral